Molecule: long non-coding RNA, 346 nt
Filed under: Olea europaea (common olive)
Lineage: Eukaryota; Viridiplantae; Streptophyta; Magnoliopsida; Lamiales; Oleaceae
Description: long non-coding RNA (OEUR_LNC009857)
Source: RNAcentral
AAUAUCAAUAAUGUGAAAUUUGUACUUUUGUUUGGUAGAUGUUAAAAUUCAGAUUUUAAUAUAAAUCACAAUUAAAAUAAAUAAUAAUGCUUCUUUCAGCUGCCGCAAUAAACACACCCCAUCACAGAAAUCCUUACAACAAAUAAAUAAAUAAGAAAAAGGCUUGAAAUAAUAAAAGUAAAUUCCUGUAGUGAUUCAGGUCUUUCAUUCACCGAAACUUCCUCUGAUUUUCCUCUCAUCGCCCUCAGUUCUAGUCUCAUUGGUUAGUUACAAUAUUUCUAAUACCUGUAUGUAGAUUAUUAAUCACUUGUGUUGUAAUUAUUUAACGUUUCGACAAUUAUUCUCG